RNAcentral lists this ribosomal RNA (417 nucleotides) under uncultured bacterium. Its description in RNAcentral is "bacterial SSU rRNA". It matches the Rfam family "Bacterial small subunit ribosomal RNA", at positions 355 to 786 of the family's 1533-position model. The record is from RNAcentral.
UGGGGAAUAUUGCACAAUGGGGAAGACCCUGAUGCAGCAACGCCGCGUGAAGGAAGACGGUUUUCGGAUUGUAAACUUCUUUUCUUAGUGAAGAAACAAAUGACGGUAGCUAAGGAAUAAGCAUCGGCUAACUACGUGCCAGCAGCCGCGGUAAUACGUAGGAUGCGAGCGUUAUCCGGAAUUACUGGGUGUAAAGGGAGCGCAGGCGGGACUGCAAGUUGGAUGUGAAAUGCCGCAGCUUAACUGCGGAGCUGCAUCCAAAACUGUAGUUCUUGAGUGGAGUAGAGGCAAGCGGAAUUCCGAGUGUAGCGGUGAAAUGCGUAGAUAUUCGGAGGAACACCAGUGGCGAAGGCGGCUUGCUGGGCUCUAACUGACGCUGAGGCUCGAAAGUGUGGGGAGCAAACAGGAUUAGAUACC